Molecule: long non-coding RNA, 1392 nt
Filed under: Bos indicus x Bos taurus (hybrid cattle)
Lineage: Eukaryota; Metazoa; Chordata; Mammalia; Artiodactyla; Bovidae
Description: lncRNA (ENSBIXG00005001253.1)
Source: RNAcentral
AAUAACUGUGUGUGAAGGGUGAAAGCCCCAUGUCUCUGAAGCCAGUGGGUGUUCACAAGAGGAUUAUGGGAAGAGGGACAGAAGUGCCUGGAUGUACUGUUCAGAACUGGCAGGACCGGCCUCUAAAAGGAAGACUUAAAAUGAUGUUUUUGACAUCAACACUUUCCCCAAAGUUGAUUUCCAACAGUUUACCUAUUGAUGAAGGCGAUCGUCAUCUUCCUCCCCACAGUCAUCACACCAGCAGAUCCCUUUACCCUGGAAAAGCUUCUCAUGACAGUUGCUUUCACUCUACUGCUCAGAAGACACGUCUUUCAAUGAGCUCCCCACCAGGCAUGAUGCUGAAAUCAUAUUUCCAGGGGACAGAGAUAGAUGUGGUGUACUUAUCUGAUUAAACUGCCUGUUGUUUUAAAUCUAUUUUCACAGAGACUCUUUCCUCCAGAAGACAGUCAGUGACACAACGCAUUAAAAAUUAUAUCUGUAUCAGUGGUUUCCUCUGUGGCAUUUCUGUAGUGUGUGCACGUGUGUGCGUGCACGUGUGUGUGUGUGCGUGCUAACCUCGUGUCCCCUGUUAGGAUGGAUAUGCAUGUGACAGUUAUGAAACAGUUACAGCUAAAACAAUCAAGUUUGGCUACAUAUGUUAUUUAUCUUUAUCUAUAGUGAAUACAUUUAUUGUCUUCCAAAAAUGAUUGUCUAGAACUAUGGGAAUACAAGAAAAGAUAUUUGCAGUCAGAUGUCUGGAGGUCAAAAGCCAAUGCAGUUCAUAAAGUGAGGGGGUGGGAAUUAAAGAUUCCAAACCCACAUGAAAAAUUCUUCCUAACAGAUGUUAGAGCUUUUAACUCAGAAAGUUUGUCUUUUCAAGCACGUUGUGGAGGAUCAAGGAUUUAUUUUUAUUUUUAAAAGAUUUAUUUAUUUAUUUUAGUUUUGGCUGCACUGGCUCUUCAUUGCUGUGGCUCUGGCUUUUCUCUGGUUGCAGCGAGCAGGGGCUACUCUUCCUUGGGGUGUGAGGGCUCCUCACUGCAGUGGCUUCUCUUGUUGCGGAGCACGGGUUCCAGGGUGCACUGGCUUCAGUAGCUAAGCACACAUGCUCAGCAGUUGCAGCUUCCAGGCUCAGUAGCUGUGGCUUGAGGUCUCUACAGGGCUAGCUCGGUACUUCUGGCUCCCGGCUCUAGAGCACAGGCUCAGUAGUUGUGGCUCAAGCGCUUAGUUGUUCAUGGACCAGGGAUCAAACCCAUGCCCCCUGCAUUGGCAGGCCGAUUCCUAAACACUGGACCACCAGGGAAGCCCUCAAGGAUUUAGGAUUAACACUGAUUCAUUGUCACUGAAUGUUUAUAACAUCACUUUGACUAGAGAGGUACAUGAUAUGAAGAACAGUCAAAAAUUAAUACAUUAAAU